Molecule: ribosomal RNA, 461 nt
Filed under: Aegyptianella pullorum
Lineage: Bacteria; Pseudomonadati; Pseudomonadota; Alphaproteobacteria; Rickettsiales; Anaplasmataceae
Description: bacterial SSU rRNA
Rfam family: Bacterial small subunit ribosomal RNA
Source: RNAcentral
GCCACUAGAAUGGUGGGUAAUACUGUAUAAUCCCCGCGGGGGAAAGAUUUAUCGCUAUUGGAUGAGCCUAUGUUAGAUUAGCUAGUUGGUGGGGUAAUGGCCUACCAAGGCUGUGAUCUAUAGCUGGUCUGAGAGGAUGAUCAGCCACACUGGAACUGAGAUACGGUCCAGACUCCUAUGGGAGGCAGCAGUGGGGAAUAUUGGACAAUGGGCGCAAGCCUGAUCCAGCUAUGCCGCGUGAGUGAGGAAGGCCUUAGGGUUGUAAAACUCUUUCAGUAGGGAAGAUAAUGACGGUACCUACAGAAGAAGUCCCGGCAAACUCCGUGCCAGCAGCCGCGGUAAUACGGAGGGGGCAAGCGUUGUUCGGAAUUAUUGGGCGUAAAGGGCAUGUAGGCGGUUUGGUAAGUUAAAAGUGAAAUGCCAGGGCUCAACCUUGGAGCUGCUUUUAAUACUGCCAGACA